CAGGACGAACGCUAGCGGCAGGCCUAAUACAUGCAAGUCGAACGGUAAGUCCCUUCGGGGAUACACGAGUGGCGCCGGGUGCGUACACGUAUGCAACUACCCUCCGGAGGGGGAUAGUCGCGGGAAACUGCGAAUAAUACCCCAUGUGUUCAUUGGUUGGCAUCAACUGAUGAAGAAAGUUCCGGCGCCGGGGGAUGGGCAUGCGUCCCAUUAGCUAGUUGGUGAGGUAACGGCUCACCAAGGCGACGAUGGGUAGCUGGUCUGAGAGGAUGAUCAGCCACACGGGCACUGAGAUACGGGCCCGACUCCUACGGGAGGCAGCAGUAAGGAAUCUUGGUCGAUGGGGGCAACCCUGAACCAGCCAUGCCGCGUGGAGGAAGACGGCCCUCCGGGUUGUAAACUCCUUUAGUCAGGGACUAAUUGUGGGCUAUAGGCACACUUGCAGGUACCUGAAGAAUAAGCGCCGGCUAACUACGUGCCAGCAGCCGCGGUAAUACGUAGGGCGCAAGCGUUGUCCGGAUUUAUUGGGUUUAAAGGGUGCGUAGGCGGAUUGUUAAGUUCGUGGUGAAAUCGUUCCGCUUAACGGAAUAACCGCCAUGGAUACUGGCAGUCUUGAGUGCGGUAGAGGAAGUUAGAAUGCGUGGUGUAGCGGUGAAAUGCAUAGAUAUCACGCAGAAUACCGAUUGCGAAGGCAGAUUUCUAUACCGUAACUGGCGCUGAGGCACGAAAGCGUGGGGAGCGAACAGGAUUAGAUACCCUGGUAGUCCACGCUGUAAACGUUGAUCACUAGGUGUUCGGCCGUAUGGCUGAGUGCCCAAGCGAAAGCGAUAAGUGAUCCACCUGGGGAGUACGU
RNAcentral lists this ribosomal RNA (853 nucleotides) under uncultured organism. RNAcentral describes it as "bacterial SSU rRNA". It matches the Rfam family "Bacterial small subunit ribosomal RNA", at positions 25 to 885 of the family's 1533-position model. The record is from RNAcentral.